RNAcentral lists this ribosomal RNA (775 nucleotides) under uncultured Neocallimastigales. RNAcentral describes it as "partial large subunit ribosomal RNA". It matches the Rfam family "Eukaryotic large subunit ribosomal RNA", at positions 24 to 645 of the family's 3401-position model. Lineage: Eukaryota; Fungi; Neocallimastigomycota; Neocallimastigomycetes; Neocallimastigales. The record is from RNAcentral.
UAUCUCUGUAGAGUCUGCAUAUCAAUAAGCGGAGGAAAAGAAACUAACUAGGAUUCCCUCAGUAACGGCGAGUGAAGCGGGAAGAGCUCAAAUUUGAAAUCUUCAAGGUUCUACCUUGACGAAUUGUAGUUUAAAGAAGUGUUUUCUGUUGGAGUUUUGGUAAAAGUUCUUUGGAAUAGGACAUCAUAGAGGGUGAGAAUCCCGUAUGUGACCAUUAUUUCCAACUUUGUGAUACACUUUCAAAGAGUCGGAUUGUUUGGGAAUGCAGUCCAAAAUGGGUGGUAAAUUUCAUCUAAAGCUAAAUAUUGGCGAGAGACCGAUAGCGAACAAGUACCGUGAGGGAAAGAUGAAAAGAACUUUGAAAAGAGAGUUAAACAGUACGUGAAAUUGUCAAAAGGGAAGCGUUUGACACCAGUGUUGUUUUCUCGAAAAUCAAUUAAAAAAGAUUGGAUUUUGUGUUGUAUUGACUUUAUCAGCUUUCAGCACUCUUUUUCUUGUCUUUUUUAAUGCACUUUUCGUUUAACAAGUCAACAUCAAUUUCUUUUGUUGUAAAAGGGUCAUUGGAAGGUGGCUUUCUUUUCGGAGAAAGUGUUUAUAGCCUUUGGCCUCUGCAAUCGGAGAGAUUGAGGUCUGCAGCGUAGAUCCUUCGGGGUUAGAUACAUUUGUGCUAAGUUAUAGCCUUUCAUAGACAACUUGUUGACUAUGAUCAGUCAUGUAGCUUACUCGCUUAUGCUAUUUUACCUACGCUUAGGAUGUUGAUCUCUCACAGUCGAGC